Orcinus orca (killer whale) is the source of this 3184-nucleotide long non-coding RNA. RefSeq lists it as uncharacterized. NCBI's taxonomy places the organism in Eukaryota, Metazoa, Chordata, Mammalia, Artiodactyla, Delphinidae. The record is from RefSeq and is a predicted model, not a curated record. The transcript is spliced from 3 exons.
AUUUUCUCUUAGUUUUUCCUGAUACAUAAGCAUUAAAAACAAAGAUUUUCGGGCUUCCCUGGUGGCGCAGUGGUUGGGGGUCCGCCUGCCAAGGCGGGGGGCACGGGUUCGUGCCCCGGUCCGGGGGGAUCCUGCGUGCCACGGGGCAGCUGGCCCCGUGGGCCCUGGCCGCUGGGCCUGUGUGUCCGGAGCCUGUGUUCUGCGGUGGGAGAGGCCACGGUGGUGAGAGGCCUGAGUACCGCAAAGGAAAGGAAAAAAGAAAAAAAAAGGGGGGAAAGAAACCCCAAAAAACCAAAGAAUUUUCCUCUGAGAAAUCCUGCUUUCAACCCAUUUAAAUAUAUAGUGAUUCUACUCUCAGAGUAGUUGCUCAUUAUAGUCUUGAUUUUGUUUGCUGCUUGAGAAGAGACUUUUAGACUUCUGUUUUCUUGUCAUGUAUCUUGUUUUAGUGUUGUUGAGACUUCAUUUAUUUAUGACUAGGUCUGUAAUUAUAGCCUCAAAAGAUUGUUGCAUUUUGGAAUUUGCGAUUUUCUGUGGUCUGAUAUUUAGUUCUUGAGUCCUUUUUAACAGUAUUGCGUGCAUAUGGUCAAAACCCAAACAUUCUGAAGAACAUCCAGUUCAGAUAUGCCUCCCUUGCUCACUCUUGGGACUCAGCCCCCAGUCCUGUCCCCUUCCCCAGAGGCCGCCAUGUCUCAAUGAGAACUGCUUAUGUUUCCAGGGAAUUCUUCAAGAGAGAGUACAUGCAAGUAGCAACAAGCAGAUGUGUGCCCGAAUUCCUUGGUUACCUAACUGGCGUUUUUGUUUGUUUCAGUUGCUGAUGUCUAUCCUGCCUUCACACCUGAGUGGGCCCUCUGGGCCCCGGGCUCCAGGAGGUCAGACAAAGGCAAACUCCUUCCUGGGAGAUAGGAAGUGGUGGUUGGAAGAGGUCAGGUAGACUUCCCAGCUAAAGUAUGUUUGAAAUAGGCCUUGACCUGUGGGCAUAGCAUCUAGUAAAAUGACAGGAAAUGAGAAGAAGUGUCUGGUGGUGACUGUCAGAAGCCCAGCUCUCUAGACUGUUCCAUCUCUUAGACAGCCAGUCUUCACGCUGGGCUGGGUGGACCGGGUUGUUAUUUAUCGCCUAAAUCUGCAUUGCCUUUUCCAUCCAGAGACCCACUCAGCCCUGGUUGAUAGUGCAGAUUUGGAUUAGAGAAUCCUUCCUUGUCAUGUCCCACCCUCCCUGGUUCCUAACUGGCCCUUCCAAGUGCCAGUCAUUGCUCUUAUUCAUUGAACACCUGCAUGUGCUGGGCACAGGGGAACAAAGGUGAAUAAGACAUGGUCCCUGUCCCGAGGAGCUCACAGCCUUGUGGGGAGAGAGGCCUGCCACGCAGCUAUGCGUGGAUGCCUGAGUGCCGUGGUAGAGCUCUGUUGAGGAUUGUUCCCAUUCAGGGAUUUUCCAGCUGUCCUGUUUAUGCUGGAUAUGGGACAAGAGCGGGCCCUAGGGUCACGAUGGCUCCUACAGGCAGGAUCCCUGAGUGCUUCUGGGCAGAGGUUCUGUCACAAGAUGAGUGACAACCAGGAGAUAGGCAGUGGGCAAGUGUUGUAGCCCAUCUCUGUAGAGAGAGUCCCUCCUUGCCAGCAUUAUUUGAGCUGGUGGGGGCCAUGGUAGUUGAAAGAAUGUAGAAAUGGGGCAAGGUGGUGAAUUGCUUGUCUGGGGAAAGGGAUUCCUGUGAGUUGAGUGAAUUUUGGUCAAAGACACCCCUUUGAGACAGGUAAUUCUGCUGUGAUGCCCUAGUCGGUGCGGGGGGUGGGGGGUGUCUCCCAAGGGCUCACCGGUCUUAUUGGUUUGUGUCUUUUCUUCUCUUUUUAAAAGUCACUUUUGGGACCCCAAAGGACAAGGACCAUCAAAAGGGAACACUGACUGUGAUGACAGAAAAUUACUUCCAUCUGACUGAGCCAGUUUUAGAAGUUUUCACAGGGAAGCUAAAACUUCCUGGAUGACAAAUGAGACAAGUGAGAAGGGUUUGCUGCACCAACAGUGAGUCUGGGUGGGAGGGGUAGUGAGGGGAGGGCAGUGCAGGUAGAAAGGCCAGGAGGGCCAGGGCAUUGAUGGGGUCAGGAAGGAGCCCAGCUUUAAGGAUGGUGGGACAAAAGCAUGUAGAAGGGAGAAAGUGGGAUAAUUAACGGUGACAGACAGAAAUGUGGCAUUUUCCCUAGGAGUCGAAGAAUUUCACGGCGAUGAGUGAGGGGACUUAUACAAUCACAUUUGUGUUUCAGAAAAGCUCAUGCCAGGUUAGAGCUAAUGUUUGUCUAUUUCAGAACUCAAAAUGCUCCUUCCUGGAACUCCCUGCUUCCUCCCUUCUCUUCCUGGCCUCCAUAUCUGUAAACAUUGUUUUGAAAGGCUACGCACAGUGUGCUGUUUGGGCUCAAGGGGCCAAGUCCAGCGGCAGGAGGAACAUCACUUCAGAGACUCCACAGGAGACAAGUUGGUUUAUUUGUACUGAGAUCUGAAUAAGAAGCCAUUCUGAUGUGGUCCUACAGGACAGCAGUGGAGGAAAAUACUCCCACUGGGUAGAACUUCACCCAGUGCAACUGGCUACUAUUUGCCUGAAAUGAGAGGUGACCAGAGCCAAUGAAGUACAGCACUGAGCUCACGUUCAUGGAAGUCACUGGUCUACGCAUCGUCUUGAUUACCGUAGCUUUAUAGGAAGACUUGAAAAUCUAGGAAGACUUGAAAAUCAGGUAGUGUAAGUCGUCCUACUUUGUUCUUCCCUUAAAUAGUUUUCUGGCUAUUCUAGAUUCUUUGCAUUUUCUUAUAACUCUUAAAAUAAACUUGUCAAUUUCUACCAAAAAAAACCCUGCUGGGAUUUGAAUGGGAUUAUGUUGAAUCUGUAGGUGAAUUUUGAGCGAACCGACAUCUUAACAAUACUGAGUCUUCCAACCCAUGCACAGGGCAUAGCCCUCUAUUUAUUUGUCGUCUUUACUUUCUCUUAGCAAUGUAUUGCAGUUUUUUGGUAUACAAGGUCUUGUGCACCCAUUCUGUUAAAUUCAUUCCUAAUUAUUGUAUGGUUUGUGAUGCUACUGUGGCUUCGGGCUGGGCUUCCAGAAGGGCUAUGACUUCUACUUGGACUGAUGCUGGGGCUGCUUUGACUCUGGCUCCUGGCCGACUGCCGCUGUGUCCAGGCUCUUUUGCUUCCUCCAUCACUUUAUU